CUAUUAGGUCGGAGACGUUCACGCAGAUAGGGAUGACAUGGUUCAAUCUGAGGUAGGUGCAUCGAACCGUUCGAUCCAUAUUCAGCUCAGAUGUUGCCACAUGUCGUCAUUCGAUAAAUUUUUUAUUCAACCACUUUCAUCUCGAUCGUUGAUAGAUCUUAUAUAUAUAGGAUCGCUCUCAGCCAAAUCUUCACUUUUCCCUGUCUUUGGUACUGGGACUCUGCCGGAUUGUUGCCCCUACACCC
Molecule: long non-coding RNA, 245 nt
Filed under: Elaeis guineensis (African oil palm)
Lineage: Eukaryota; Viridiplantae; Streptophyta; Magnoliopsida; Arecales; Arecaceae
Description: long non-coding RNA (EGUI_LNC030750)
Source: RNAcentral